This 523-nucleotide ribosomal RNA is filed under the name uncultured bacterium. RNAcentral describes it as "bacterial SSU rRNA". It matches the Rfam family "Bacterial small subunit ribosomal RNA", at positions 356 to 896 of the family's 1533-position model. The record is from RNAcentral.
GGGGAAUAUUGGACAAUGGACCAAAAGUCUGAUCCAGCAAUUCUGUGUGCACGAUGACGUUUUUCGGAAUGUAAAGUGCUUUCAGUUGGGAAGAAAAAAAUGACGGUACCAACAGAAGAAGUGACGGCUAGAUACGUGCCAGCAGCCGCGGUAAUACGUAUGUCACAAGCGUUAUCCGGAUUUAUUGGGCGUAAAGCGCGUCUAGGUGGUUAUGUAAGUCUGAUGUGAAAAUGCAGGGCUCAACUCUGUAUUGCGUUGGAAACUGCAUGACUAGAGUACUGGAGAGGUAAGCGGAACUACAAGUGUAGAGGUGAAAUUCGUAGAUAUUUGUAGGAAUGCCGAUGGGGAAGCCAGCUUACUGGACAGAUACUGACGCUAAAGCGCGAAAGCGUGGGUAGCAAACAGGAUUAGAUACCCUGGUAGUCCACGCCGUAAACGAUGAUUACUAGGUGUUGGGGGUCGAACCUCAGCGCCCAAGCUAACGCGAUAAGUAAUCCGCCUGGGGAGUACGUACGCAAGUAUG